This 114-nucleotide ribosomal RNA is filed under the name Acanthosepion pharaonis. The record is from RNAcentral. Lineage: Eukaryota; Metazoa; Mollusca; Cephalopoda; Sepiida; Sepiidae.
UUACGGUCAAAUCACGCUGAAACACCGGUUCUCGUACGAUCACCGACGUUAAGCAGCGUAGAGCCAGGUCAGUACUUAGAUGGGGGCCCGCUUGGGAACACCUGGUACUGUAAG